Molecule: ribosomal RNA, 495 nt
Filed under: uncultured bacterium
Lineage: Bacteria
Description: partial 16S ribosomal RNA
Rfam family: Bacterial small subunit ribosomal RNA
Source: RNAcentral
GAUGAACGCUGGCGGCGUGCCUAAUACAUGCAAGUAGAACGCUGAAGGAGGAGCUUGCUCUUCUGGAUGAGUUGCGAACGGGUGAGUAACGCGUAGGUAACCUGCCUGGUAGCGGGGGAUAACUAUUGGAAACGAUAGCUAAUACCGCAUGACAACAGUUAUUGCAUGAUAACUGUUUAAAAGGGGCAACUGCUCCACUACCAGAUGGACCUGCGUUGUAUUAGCUAGUUGGUGAGGUAACGGCUCACCAAGGCGACGAUACAUAGCCGACCUGAGAGGGUGGUCGGCCACCCUGGGACUGAGACACGGCCCAGAAUCCUACGGGAGGCAGCAGUAGGGGAUCUUCGGCAAUGGACGGAAGUCUGACCGCACAACGCCGGGGGAGUGAAGAAGGUUUUCGGAUCGUAAAGCUCUGUUGUGAGAGAAGAACGAGUGUGAGAGUGAAAAGUGCACACUGUGACGGUAUCUGAAGAGAAAGGGACGGCUAACUACGUG